AUACGGAGGAUGCGAGCGUUAUCCGGAUUUAUUGGGUUUAAAGGGUGCGUAGGCGGCUUUUUAAGUCAGCGGUGAAAGUCUGUGGCUCAACCGUAGAAUUGCCGUUGAAACUGGUAGGCUUGAGUAUGGUUAAGGUAGGCGGAAUGUGUGAUGUAGCGGUGAAAUGCUUAGAGAUUACACAGAAUACCGAUUGCGAAGGCAGGUUACUGGACCAUUACUGACGCUGAGGCACGAAAGCGUGGGGAGCGAACAGGAUUAGAUACCCUGGUAGUCCACGCCGUAAACGAUGAUCACUCGCUGUUAGCGAUACACAGUUAGCGGCUAAGCAAAAGCAUUAAGUGAUCCACCUGGGGAGUACGGCCGCAAGGCUGAAACUCAAAUGAAUUGACGG
Molecule: ribosomal RNA, 391 nt
Filed under: uncultured bacterium
Lineage: Bacteria
Description: partial 16S ribosomal RNA
Rfam family: Bacterial small subunit ribosomal RNA
Source: RNAcentral